This 793-nucleotide ribosomal RNA is filed under the name uncultured Nitrosovibrio sp. RNAcentral's name for it is "bacterial SSU rRNA". It matches the Rfam family "Bacterial small subunit ribosomal RNA", at positions 8 to 793 of the family's 1533-position model. Lineage: Bacteria; Pseudomonadati; Pseudomonadota; Betaproteobacteria; Nitrosomonadales; Nitrosomonadaceae. The record is from RNAcentral.
AGAGUUUGAUCAUGGCUCAGAAUGAACGCUGGCGGCGUGCCUAACACAUGCAAGUCGGAUGUGCCCGCAAGGGUGCAUGGCAGACGGGUGAGUAACGCGUGGGGAACCUACCUCUUUGUGGGGAAUAACGUUCCGAAAGGAAUGGUAAUACCGCAUGAGACCGAUGGCUGGGAUGCUGUCGGUGAAACCCGGGGACCGCAAGGCCUGGGGCAAGGAGAGGGUCCUGCGUCUGAUUAGCUAGUUGGCGGGGUAACGGCCCACCAAGGCGUCGAUCAGUAGCCGGCCUGAGAGGGUGAUCGGCCACACUGGAACUGAGACACGGUCCAGACUCCUACGGGAGGCAGCAGUGGGGAAUUUUGCGCAAUGGGCGAAAGCCUGACGCAGCAACGCCGCGUGGGUGAUGAAGGUCUUCGGAUCGUAAAACCCUGUCGUCAGGGACGAAGGUUGCAUGUCUAAUAGAUGUGUAACUUGACGGUACCUGGAGAGGAAGCCCCGGCUAACUCUGUGCCAGCAGCCGCGGUAAUACAGAGGGGGCAAGCGUUAUUCGGAAUUAUUGGGCGUAAAGGGCGCGUAGGCGGUGUCUUAAGUGAGAUGUGUAAUCCCCGAGCUUAACUUGGGAACUGCAUCUCAGACUGGGGCGCUAGAGUACUGGAGAGGGUGGUAGAAUUCCACGUGUAGCGGUGAAAUGCGUAGAGAUGUGGAGGAAUACCAGUGGCGAAGGCGGCCACCUGGACAGUAACUGACGCUGAAGCGCGAAAGUGUGGGGAGCAAACAGGAUUAGAUACCCUGGUAG